This 642-nucleotide ribosomal RNA is filed under the name uncultured bacterium. Its description in RNAcentral is "bacterial SSU rRNA". It matches the Rfam family "Bacterial small subunit ribosomal RNA", at positions 201 to 847 of the family's 1533-position model. The record is from RNAcentral.
UUAAAGAAUUUCGGUUAUCGAUGGGGAUGCGUUCCAUUAGAUAGUUGGCGGGGUAACGGCCCACCAAGUCAACGAUGGAUAGGGGUUCUGAGAGGAAGGUCCCCCACAUUGGAACUGAGACACGGUCCAAACUUCUACGGGAGGCAGCAGUGAGGAAUAUUGGUCAAUGGACGAGAGUCUGAACCAGCCAAGUAGCGUGAAGGAUGACUGCCCUAUGGGUUGUAAACUUCUUUUAUACGGGAAUAAAGUGGAGUAUGCAUACUCCUUUGUAUGUACCGUAUGAAUAAGGAUCGGCUAACUCCGUGCCAGCAGCCGCGGUAAUACGGAGGAUCCGAGCGUUAUCCGGAUUUAUUGGGUUUAAAGGGAGCGUAGGCGGGUGCUUAAGUCAGUUGUGAAAGUUUGCGGCUCAACCGUAAAAUCGCAGUUGAUACUGGGCGCCUUGAGUGCAGCAUAGGUAGGCGGAAUUCGUGGUGUAGCGGUGAAAUGCUUAGAUAUCACGAAGAACUCCGAUUGCGAAGGCAGCUUACUGGACUGUAACUGACGCUGAUGCCCGAAAGUGUGGGUAUCAAACAGGAUUAGAUACCCUGGUAGUCCACACAGUAAACGAUGAAUGCUCGCUGUUGGCGAUACACAGUCAGCGGC